Regulatory RNA element from Lachnospiraceae bacterium 28-4, 159 nucleotides. Lineage: Bacteria; Bacillati; Bacillota; Clostridia; Lachnospirales; Lachnospiraceae. The record is from Rfam.
UUGCGUACAAUCAGCCAUUUCACUUAUGAAAUGGUCAAUAACCAGAGAAAAUUGCCACGGAGGGCAAUUUUAGGAAGCAUAGGCAUGGAUGCCGUCGCUUCCGGCUCGUCCGGUUAGAUACCAUAAUCCAUUUCAUUAGUGAAAUCUGAUUGGAAGCUC